UCUAAGCCUCUCUCUCACUUGUCACCUCCAUAGUUUCCUCGUAUUUUCUCUCUUCUUUUCCUCACCAACAUUACUUCUCUCUGAAUCAAUUUUUUAGCUUUAGUUCGGAUCAAAGUACUCAAGACAAAGAAAGGAUAAAAAACGGUGAAAUUGAUGGAGCGACGCAUCUCUGUUUGUUUAUGGUUGAUUCUGGCGUUGAAUUUGGUUUCCAGAGUUGCAGGCAAUGCUGAAGGUGAUGCUUUGAAUGCAUUGAAGAUCAAUUUGGCUGACCCCAAUAACGUGUUUCAAGUGGGAUCCAACCCAUUUCAACCCUUGCCUAUGGCAGAAUAUUACUUGCAACAAUGAAAAUAGUGUGAUCAAAGUUGAUCUUAGGAAUGCAAAUCUAUCGGUCAGCUUGUUCCAGAACUCGGGCAGCUUUCGAAUUUGCAGUACUUGGAGCUAUGUAGUAAUUACAUAUCUGGGACAAUCCCGGAGGAACUUGGAAAUUCGACGAGCUUAGUGAACUUGGAACUUUACUUGAAUGCUUUAACAGGACCCAUUCCAACUUCUCUGGGCAAGCUAAGAAAGUUGAGCGUCCUGCGUCUCAACAACAACUCCUUGACAGGUCAAAUUCCAAUGUCCUUAACUACUAUUGAUACACUGCAAGUGCUGGAUCUUUCAAACAAUCGGCUAGUAGGAGAUAUUCCAGUUAAUGGCUCCUUUUCAUUUUCAAUCCUAUCAGUUUUGUUAAUCCACUCAAUUAUCUUCCUCCUGCUCCACCUCCCCUAUCCAAACUACAGCUUCAACUCAUCAGGUAAUACCGCCAUUGGUGCUAUUUUUGGAGCUAUUCUGCUGUUCUUUGUCUCUGUAGUUAUAUUUGCUUAAAGUGAUGGGAUCUUUCCUUUAACGCACUUGGCUAGUAAUUUUUAUCCCUAAUGUUUUAAAUGCCACAAAAUGUGUUC
Hibiscus syriacus is the source of this 941-nucleotide RNA transcript. It is a transcript of the gene named BRASSINOSTEROID INSENSITIVE 1-associated receptor kinase 1-like, with no coding region annotated. The transcript is spliced from 8 exons. The record is from RefSeq and is a predicted model, not a curated record. NCBI's taxonomy places the organism in Eukaryota, Viridiplantae, Streptophyta, Magnoliopsida, Malvales, Malvaceae.